UUCUGCACUGGUACUCUAUCCAGUGCAACCAAUCUUGUCUGAUCACAGAAGCUAAGCAGGGUCGGGCUUGGUUAGUACUUGGAUGGGAGACCACCUGGGAAUACCAGGUGCUAUGGGAA
Molecule: ribosomal RNA, 119 nt
Filed under: Notamacropus eugenii (tammar wallaby)
Lineage: Eukaryota; Metazoa; Chordata; Mammalia; Diprotodontia; Macropodidae
Source: RNAcentral